This 929-nucleotide unclassified non-coding RNA is filed under the name Hevea brasiliensis (rubber tree). Lineage: Eukaryota; Viridiplantae; Streptophyta; Magnoliopsida; Malpighiales; Euphorbiaceae. The record is from RNAcentral.
CAGGGCUGGCCCUACCUAAACCCUAAACUCUUUCAUCUUCUCUGCCCCAAUUCAAUUCCUGCUUUUCAACUUUGCAACUUUAAACCCCAGAAGCAAGAAGGAAAAAGCUGUGAGGAACGGCAUGGCUUACGGCGGGGCAUCCACGGCAAUGACCGCCGUAACGGCAACGCCGACGAUUAAGCAAGUUAAAUUGGAAAGAGAAAGCGAGCUUAGAAUCGAAGUGGCGAACGACAUGCCGCUGCGCCUGAGGUUACUAAACGGCACUGCUGAGAUCUUUGGCACCGAGUUGCCUCCUGAAAUGUGGCUCACCUUCCCUCCUCGCUUAAAAUUUGCUGUGUUUACUUGGUAUGGGGCCACAAUAGAGAUGGAAGGUACCACUGAAACCGAUUAUACUGCAGAUGAGACUCCCAUGGUUAGUUAUGUAAAUGUCCAUGCUGUACUGGAAGGACGUAGAAAUCGCGCCAAAGCCUCAUCCUCUAGUGGUUCUGAGACUUCUCAGGGUCCUAGGGUGAUUGUUGUUGGACCUACAGAUUCUGGAAAGAGCACCUUGUCAAGGAUGCUUCUCAGUUGGGCAGCCAAACAAGGUUGGAAACCUACCUAUGUGGACUUGGAUAUUGGCCAAGGGUCUAUAACAAUUCCUGGAUGCAUUGCUGCCACCCCUAUUGAGUUGCCCAUUGAUCCAGUGGAAGGGAUUUCUCUUGAAAUGCCUCUUGUAUACUUCUAUGGGCACACAACUCCUAGUCAAAAUGUAGAUUUGUACAAAGCACUUGUAAAGGAGCUUGCUCAAAUACUAGAGAGACAGUUUACUGGAAAUGCUGAAUCACGUGCUGCAGGCAUGGUGAUCAACACUAUGGGAUGGAUAGAAGGUGUGGGCUAUGAGCUGAUUCUUCAUGCAAUUGAUACAUUUAAUGCCAAUGUUGUCUUGGUUU